UAGAGGAUGAGAAUUUAGAAAAACGAAGGAACCUAGAAAGAUUAAUUGUUUCGCCAUUAGGAGAAAUAUUACCGCACCCGUCGUCCCUUAAACACGGUUGGAAUGACGAUUGUGAAAAAAUACCGGAUUUUUCAAACGCAGAACUUUACAAUUAUCUAGUGUUAAGUCAAGGUCAAAUUGACAAAAAAGAGCAGAACAAUGCCAAACGACAACUGAAAGCAAAGGUGUUCUAUGAGGAUAGACAUGUACAUUCAGUACAAUAUCAUGAAAUCGAGUCAUCAAUCACUCACUGUUUCAUACGUACCAAAGUCAUCCCAUCCAUGCCUACCCUUGAUAAAAAGAAGAAGCCAGAUUAUGUAGUUUGGAUUAUGAAGUUGAAUCCUGUAACCAUAGCGGCAGUACUCCACGGGCUAAUUGACAUUACCGAAAAAAAAAGGUCUUCACGCGUCUACAUCAAACAAGUGUAAAUGGAAUGAGCCUCGCAAACGGAAACUUAGCCCCAAAAAAUCUCAGGACAUAACAUUUGAAAAGUGCAAAUGGACUCCAGAGGUUCCAAAUUCCAAAGGAGAAAAGACACCAUUUAAAGAAGAAACUGUUUUAACUGUGACACCAGUGAAUGUUAAUAACUUUGCUAGGAAAUUAAGGCAAUGUGCACCACAUGCUGCAUGGUUAUUAACAAGACCGGACACAGUUGUUAUAAAAGAUGCUAAACAGGUGUUGCCAGAAAUACAGUGAAUGUAUCCAGGAACCAGUAGUAGCCGCCUACUGUGCUGUUAUACAGUCCCUGGCCUAGCAAUGCUAGUGUUGAACUUGCUAUUAGCACUCCUCAUUGAUUUGUUCAAAUCUAAACUUUGUAACAUAAAAUAUAUUUUUCAUUCCGUUAACAUGCCGUGGUAUCAACAGCUUUAAGCUAAAAUAAAUCUUCAAAAUCUAGGGGAUCCGAGACUGCGUUUUACAAUUUAUGUUCCCGUCUUCAUUGGCCCAGUCGGAGUAGAACAGUAGGACGUCAAACCCCAUUUCAUUUCACUAAUUAUGUUAAAUAAUAGGCAUUAGUAAAUUUUCUCAUCAGGAAUGGAAAAGAUUAAAAACACUAAUGCCAUAGGCAGACCAAAAUCUCAUUCAAUUUCCAGAAUCAUUUGUCAUUCAAAUCUCACAAAUGAAUUGGCCGACUGGUUGAUACAUCAUUUGUUCAGAACACAAGAAAAGGCCAUAUCGUCAUUUGCUAGAUUCCGUGUGACGUCCAUCUCUGUACAGAUGACCAUUUCUAUAGCACAUUACUUAUCAAUUACAGGCCUUUGUGCAUAGAAGAGUUAGCUACAUGUAAUACAUGUCUGGAAUAGGUUUUGUUAUUCAGGACAUAAGUGUUCACAAAAUGUUCUUUUUUGAAUCGUGGAUGCUAUUCAUUCAUAAUUUAGUAAUUCUAAAAUAACUUUCAUCUGUAACUCUGUAAUUUCCGGCAUUGUGGCAUCUCCUGUACGAGGAAAAUGAGAUUUGUAAUUAGAAGCUUUAAUACCUAACGCGUCCUGGGCUUUAUUUAACUGAUAAGAGUUAUUGGCAGUUAGAUAAGACACAAGAUAAGCUUCUGAAUAACUGCUUUUAGGAUCUGUCUCCACUAUCAUUGCAUGGGAGAGACGGCAUCCAGUAUUGUCCUACAGAUGCGCAAACAGCGAGAGAGAAGGAGGAGACAACGUGGGCCAUCGAUGCAACGUUGGUUGGUUAAUUCAAACGUCCGUGGAGACACCAGUUGUAUGUGCGCGAGCAUUUUCAGGCUGAAACGUGUGCAGAUCUUGAUGGCAAUCGGUCCAACGUAAGGCGUAAGGUUGUUUUUCAUAUAGGAAUCAACUGCCUGUCCAAUUUCUAGUUGAAGAUCAAAACGAUUUCAAUGUUUGCCCCGCUUUAUGGAGAGUGUGCACAAAGGAUAUGUUGAUAUGGAUAUUAAAAAAACAAUCUCUGCGUGUACAAUUUUAUUCAAAGCCUAUCAUGGACUAGAAGUAAAACUUUAAAACAUA
This is a long non-coding RNA of Patella vulgata (common limpet), 2009 nucleotides long. RefSeq lists it as uncharacterized. Lineage: Eukaryota; Metazoa; Mollusca; Gastropoda; Patellidae. The transcript has 2 exons. The record is from RefSeq and is a predicted model, not a curated record.